AUCCAGUUGACGUGUCCCAAAGUAGGACGAAACAAGCGUCCUGGAU
Molecule: non-coding RNA, 46 nt
Filed under: Schistosoma mansoni
Lineage: Eukaryota; Metazoa; Platyhelminthes; Trematoda; Strigeidida; Schistosomatidae
Source: RNAcentral